RNAcentral lists this long non-coding RNA (929 nucleotides) under Gossypium raimondii (Peruvian cotton). RNAcentral describes it as "long non-coding RNA (GRAI_LNC010904)". Lineage: Eukaryota; Viridiplantae; Streptophyta; Magnoliopsida; Malvales; Malvaceae. The record is from RNAcentral.
UAAAAUUGCAGUGGGGCAGAUUGAAGCCACAAGUCUUAUAUCCCUGAUGUUGCAGUAGAGUAGACUGAAGAUAGCAAAUUUCAUUUCCCUGAAAUUGUAGUGGAACAAAUUGAAGCUAUAAAUCACAGAUCUUAUCUCUCUAGAGUUGCAGUUGAGUAGAUCAUAUCAAAUCUUAUCUCCCUGAAGUUGCAGUGGAGUAGAUUGAAGCCACUUCCUGUACCCUUGAAGAUGCGGUGAAAGGGAAUGAGGCUACUUAAAAGAAAGAAGCACCAUAAAGUCAAUAUUCGGCAAGAUUAGGCAAAAUUGACCUCUUUAAAGCCUUUGCUCCAUUCUCGUUACACGACAAUGAGCAAAGAGGGCCUGCUGUAAUAGGUCAAUUUUGGCCUAGACCUAAAACCAAAUAAAUAAAACCAAAACAAAUAAAUGAGACCAAGUCCAAAAUAUUUACAAACCAAAUAAUAAGCCCAAACUUACACUACCCAAUUACAGCCCAAAUGCAACAAAAACCAUAGUGGCCCAAUAGCCCAAAAACUAAACAUUUUCAUCAACAAAAAAGGAGGGAAAACCUUAGCCGCCGCCGCCGCCCUAACUGCCGCCACCUCCCCCUCACGCACCGCUCCGUAUGCCAACUGUCUAACGGCUUUGUACCUGCAAAACGAACAAGCUUGAAGAAUCUAAUAACAAUGUAAAAAAUAAGAGAAAAAUAGAAAAAGGGCCCCGGUUUUAUGUUUAUUUCCUUACGAAUGAAUCAAAGAAAAACAGAGAAAAAUCAAUUCAAAUACAGACCAUUUUUGAAGGCAGUUCAUUUUUUUUCUAUUACUAUAUUUUUCCCUCUCUUCAAUUUCGUUCGUUUUUUUAAAUAAAGAAAAAGAAAUCAAAAAUAAUAAAAAGAAGACUGAAACUUACCUUUAUUCGCGUUUUUACUCCAC